Molecule: ribosomal RNA, 274 nt
Filed under: uncultured bacterium
Lineage: Bacteria
Description: partial 16S ribosomal RNA
Rfam family: Bacterial small subunit ribosomal RNA
Source: RNAcentral
AUACGGAGGGUGCGAGCGUUAAUCGGAAUUACUGGGCGUAAAGGGUGCGUAGGCGGCUUGAUAAGUCGGAUGUGAAAGCCCCGGGCUUAACCUGGGAAUCGCAUUCGAUACUGUCAGGCUAGAGUAUGUCAGAGGUUGGCGGAAUUCCUGGUGUAGCGGUGAAAUGCGUAGAUAUCAGGAGGAACACCAGUGGCGAAGGCGGCUAACUGGGACAAUACUGACGCUGAGGCACGAAAGCGUGGGGAGCAAACAGGAUUAGAAACCCUAGUAGUCC